Molecule: ribosomal RNA, 483 nt
Filed under: uncultured bacterium
Lineage: Bacteria
Description: bacterial SSU rRNA
Rfam family: Bacterial small subunit ribosomal RNA
Source: RNAcentral
GGCGGCGUGCCUAACACAUGCAAGUCGAACGAAGCACAUUGGAAAGAGACUCGGUCAAUGGAAAGUGUGACUUAGUGGCGGACGGGUGAGUAAUGCAUGAGCAGCCUGCCCUGGAGAGGGGGACAACAGCUGGAAACGGCUGCUAAUACCGCAUAAUACUGCGGGAAGGCAUCUUCCUGCAGUCAAAGAUUUAUCGCUCUGGGAUGGGCUCAUGUCUGAUUAGUUAGUUGGCGGGGCAACGGCCCACCAAGACUACGAUCAGUAGCCGGACUGAGAGGUUGAACGGCCGCAUUGGGACUGAGAUACGGCCCAGACUCCUACGGGAGGCAGCAGUGGGGAAUAUUGGGCAAUGGGCGCAAGCCUGACCCAAGCAACGCCGCGUGAAGGAAGAAGGCUUUCGGGUUGUAAACUUCUUUUAUCAGGGACGAAGAAAGUGACAGUACCUGAUGAAUAAGCCACGGCUAACUACGUGCCAGCAGCAGC